UAACCCUCAAAGAGUUCUGGAAGAUUCUGUGCGUGGAGCUAACUGAGAAAUCCUGGGCCAGCGUCUCUCUAAGCACACUGAAAUCCACCUGGGUACAGGACAGAGAUGCUGAAAGCUCUGCAGAGGAGCCUGAGCUACCUGAGUGAUGAAAUUUGUGAUGCUGGUUUAAGAAAUAGAAGAAUGAAAGAUAUGGGGACCAUGAAGAAUAUACAAAUGGAAGAGAGUGUAUGUAACCACAGACUCAGGAAAAGGAGGAAGGGAAUUACUGUGGAUUGGCAAAACUAUGGCAACACAAUUCUACUUUCUCUUCCUCAAACAAGGAAGGCACUUAUAAGAAGAGGACAUUGUAAAUGCCCCUUUUUCAAGCCAGAGAA
Molecule: long non-coding RNA, 374 nt
Organism: Fukomys damarensis (Damara mole-rat)
Lineage: Eukaryota; Metazoa; Chordata; Mammalia; Rodentia; Bathyergidae
Exons: 2
Source: RefSeq, a predicted model, not a curated record